AGUGGUAUAGCCAGGUCAAAUGGUGGUUUUAUUCCAAGUUAUUAUCUGAGUAAUAUCUAUAGUGCUUUCUAGAGUGGUGGCACCAAUUUGCAGUCCCACCAGCAAU
Molecule: microRNA precursor, 106 nt
Filed under: Marmota monax (woodchuck)
Lineage: Eukaryota; Metazoa; Chordata; Mammalia; Rodentia; Sciuridae
Source: RNAcentral